This 484-nucleotide ribosomal RNA is filed under the name uncultured bacterium. Its description in RNAcentral is "partial 16S ribosomal RNA". The record is from RNAcentral.
GUAGUUAGCCGGGGCUUCCUCCUCAGGUACCGUCACUUCCUUCGUCCCUGAGGACAGAGGUUUACAAUCCGAAAACCUUCUUCCCUCACGCGGCGUUGCUGGGUCAGGCUUUCGCCCAUUGCCCAAUAUUCCCCACUGCUGCCUCCCGUAGGAGUCUGGACCGUUUCUCAGUUCCAGUGUGGCCGAUCACCCUCUCAGGUCGGCUACUGAUCGUCGCCUUGGUGGGCCGUUACCUCACCAACUAGCUAAUCAGACGCGAGCUCACCCCUCAGCGGAUUGCUCCUUUGACCCCUUCGCCAUGUGGCGCUGUGGUCUCAUGCGGUAUUAGCAGAUGUUUCCAUCUGUUAUCCCCCUCUGUGGGACAGAUUGCUCACGCGUUACUCACCCGUCCGCCGCUCGAUAAGAGACCGAACCCUUACCUCGCUCGACUUGCAUGUGUUAGGCACGCCGCCACGCGUCGUCCUCGAGCAGAUACAACUACUGA